Molecule: ribosomal RNA, 483 nt
Filed under: uncultured bacterium
Lineage: Bacteria
Description: bacterial SSU rRNA
Rfam family: Bacterial small subunit ribosomal RNA
Source: RNAcentral
GAUGAACGCUAGCGGGAGGCCUAAUACAUGCAAGUCGAGCGGUAGAGUGACUUCGGUUGCUUGAGAGCGGCGAACGGGUGAGUAACGCGUACACAAUCUACCUUUAAGAGGGGAAUAGCCCUGGGAAACUGGGAUUAAUGCCCCAUGGCAUCACGAGACGGCAUCGUUUUGUGAUUAAAGCUGAGGUGCUUAGAGAUGAGUGUGCGUCUGAUUAGCUAGUUGGUGCGGUAACGGCGCACCAAGGCGACGAUCAGUAGGGGGCGUGAGAGCGUGGACCCCCACACGGGUACUGAGACACGGACCCGACUCCUACGGGAGGCAGCAGUAAGGAAUAUUGGACAAUGGGCGAAAGCCUGAUCCAGCAAUGCCGCGUGAGUGAUGAAGGCCUUAGGGUUGUAAAGCUCUUUUACCAGGGAUGAUAAUGACAGUACCUGGAGAAUAAGCUCCGGCUAACUCCGUGCCAGCAGCCGCGGUAAUGUCUAG